Molecule: ribosomal RNA, 301 nt
Filed under: uncultured bacterium
Lineage: Bacteria
Description: partial 16S ribosomal RNA
Rfam family: Bacterial small subunit ribosomal RNA
Source: RNAcentral
CAGUCGCCGCGGUAAUACGUAGGUGGCAAGCGUUGUCCGGAAUUAUUGGGCGUAAAGGGCUCGCAGGCGGUUUCUUAAGUCUGAUGUGAAAGCCCCCAGCUCAACCGGGGAGGGUCAUUGGAAACUGGGAAACUUGAGUGCAGAAGAGGAGAGUGGAAUUCCACGUGUAGCGGUGAAAUGCGUAGAGAUGUGGAGGAACACCAGUGGCGAAGGCGACUCUCUGGUCUGUAACUGACGCUGAGGAGCGAAAGCGUGGGGAGCGAACAGGAUUAGAUACCCCAGUAGUCCCUGUCUCUUAUAC